AUACGGAGGGUGCAAGCGUUAAUCGGAAUUACUGGGCGUAAAGCGUACGUAGGCGGUUAUUUAAGUCAGAUGUGAAAGCCCCGGGCUUAACUUGGGAACUGCAUUUGAAACUGGGUAACUAGAGUUUAGUAGAGGGGAGUGGAAUUUCAGGUGUAGCGGUGAAAUGCGUAGAGAUCGGAAGGAACACCAGUGGCGAAGGCGACUCCCUGGACUAAAACUGACGCUGAGGUACGAAAGCGUGGGUAGCAAACAGGAUUAGAAACCCUAGUAGUCC
Molecule: ribosomal RNA, 274 nt
Filed under: uncultured bacterium
Lineage: Bacteria
Description: partial 16S ribosomal RNA
Rfam family: Bacterial small subunit ribosomal RNA
Source: RNAcentral